GGGGAUAUAGCUCAGUGGUAGAGCACUCGCCUAGCAUGUGUGGGGCUUGGGGUUCCAACCCUUGAUUCUCA
RNAcentral lists this transfer RNA (71 nucleotides) under Heterocephalus glaber (naked mole-rat). It matches the Rfam family "tRNA". From Rfam's summary of the family: Transfer RNA (tRNA) molecules are approximately 80 nucleotides in length. Their secondary structure includes four short double-helical elements and three loops (D, anti-codon, and T loops). The record is from Rfam by way of RNAcentral. Lineage: Eukaryota; Metazoa; Chordata; Mammalia; Rodentia; Bathyergidae.